This 254-nucleotide ribosomal RNA is filed under the name uncultured bacterium. Its description in RNAcentral is "partial 16S ribosomal RNA". It matches the Rfam family "Bacterial small subunit ribosomal RNA", at positions 524 to 776 of the family's 1533-position model. The record is from RNAcentral.
CACGUAGGGGGCAAGCGUUGUCCGGAUUUAUUGGGCGUAAAGAGCUCGUAGGCGGCUCAGUAAGUCAGGUGUGAAACCUCCAGGCUCAACCUGGAGACGCCACCCGAUACUGCUGUGGCUAGAGUCCGGUAGGGGAGCGUGGAAUUCCUGGUGUAGCGGUGAAAUGCGCAGAUAUCAGGAGGAACACCAGCGGCGAAGGCGGCGCUCUGGGCCGGAACUGACGCUGAGGAGCGAAAGCGUGGGUAGCAAACAGG